RNAcentral lists this ribosomal RNA (446 nucleotides) under uncultured bacterium. RNAcentral's name for it is "bacterial SSU rRNA". It matches the Rfam family "Bacterial small subunit ribosomal RNA", at positions 66 to 507 of the family's 1533-position model. The record is from RNAcentral.
GCGGAUGAAGGGAGCUUGCUCUCUGAUUCAGCGGCGGACGGGUGAGUAAUGCCUAGGAAUCUGCCUGAUAGUGGGGGACAACGUUUCGAAAGGAACGCUAAUACCGCAUACGUCCUACGGGAGAAAGCAGGGGACCUUCGGGCCUUGCGCUAUCAGAUGAGCCUAGGUCGGAUUAGCUAGUUGGUGAGGUAACGGCUCACCAAGGCGACGAUCCGUAACUGGUCUGAGAGGAUGAUCAGUCACACUGGAACUGAGACACGGUCCAGACUCCUACGGGAGGCAGCAGUGGGGAAUAUUGGACAAUGGGCGAAAGCCUGAUCCAGCCAUGCCGCGUGUGUGAAGAAGGUCUUCGGAUUGUAAAGCACUUUAAGUUGGGAGGAAGGGCAUUAACCUAAUACGUUAGUGUUUUGACGUUACCGACAGAAUAAGCACCGGCUAACUUCGUG